AACGAACGCUGGCGGCAUGCCUAACACAUGCAAGUCGAACGAGACCUUCGGGUCUAGUGGCGCACGGGUGCGUAACGCGUGGGAACCUGCCCUUAGGUUCGGAAUAACUCCCCGAAAGGGGUUCUAAUACCGGAUAAUGUCUUCGGACCAAAGAUUUAUCGCCUUUGGAUGGGCCCGCGUUGGAUUAGCUAGUUGGUAGGGUAAAAGCCUACCAAGGCGACGAUCCAUAGCUGGUCUGAGAGGAUGAUCAGCCACACUGGGACUGAGACACGGCCCAGACUCCUAAGGGAGGCAGCAGUGGGGAAUAUUGGACAAUGGGCGAAAGCCUGAUCCAGCAAUGCCGCGUGAGUGAUGAAGGCCUUAGGGUUGUAAAGCUCUUUUACACGGGAUGAUAAUGACAGUACCGGGAGAAUAAGCUCCGGAUAACUCCGUG
This 433-nucleotide ribosomal RNA is filed under the name uncultured bacterium. RNAcentral describes it as "partial 16S ribosomal RNA". It matches the Rfam family "Bacterial small subunit ribosomal RNA", at positions 29 to 507 of the family's 1533-position model. The record is from RNAcentral.